UACGUAGGGGGCUAGCGUUAUCCGGAAUUACUGGGCGUAAAGGGAACGCAGGCGGUCUUUUAAGUCUGAUGUGAAAGCCUUCGGCUUAACCGGAGUAGUGCAUUGGAAACUGGGAGACUUGAGUGCAGAAGAGGAGAGUGGAACUCCAUGUGUAGCGGUGAAAUGCGUAGAUAUAUGGAAGAACACCAGUGGCGAAAGCGGCUCUCUGGUCUGUAGCUGACGCUGAGGUUCGAAAGCGUGGGUAGCAAACAGG
RNAcentral lists this ribosomal RNA (253 nucleotides) under uncultured bacterium. Its description in RNAcentral is "partial 16S ribosomal RNA". It matches the Rfam family "Bacterial small subunit ribosomal RNA", at positions 524 to 776 of the family's 1533-position model. The record is from RNAcentral.